This is a non-coding RNA of Paramuricea clavata, 241 nucleotides long. Lineage: Eukaryota; Metazoa; Cnidaria; Anthozoa; Malacalcyonacea; Plexauridae. The record is from the annotation of a GenBank genome assembly.
CUUUCUAAUGUGCACAUUAUUGUUCAAUACUUUAACUUUCGCUCGACGGCAAGGCUAAUUUUUUGUGAAACUUUGGAUCCUUGUCUGAUUUGGUAUACUUAAUAAGAAUAAUAAUGGAAAUAUAUGUGCAUAAAUGGAUUAAUUUGAUGACUAAAAUUAUCCUGGAAGCUAAAUUUGAGGGAAUACAGGACUGAUACGAUGCUAUCGAGAUCUUUGCAUCAUCUUCAAGGUCAAGGUCUUA